GACGAACGCUGGCGGCGUGCCUAAUACAUGCAAGUAGAACGCUGAAGGAGGAGCUUGCUUCUCCGGAUGAGUUGCGAACGGGUGAGUAACGCGUAGGUAACCUGCCUGGUAGCGGGGGAUAACUAUUGGAAACGAUAGCUAAUACCGCAUAAGAGUAGAUGUUGCAUGACAUUUGCUUAAAAGGUGCAAUUGCAUCACUACCAGAUGGACCUGCGUUGUAUUAGCUAGUUGGUGGGGUAACGGCUUACCAAGGCGACGAUACAUAGCCGACCUGAGAGGGUGAUCGGCCACACUGGGACUGAGACACGGCACAGACUCCUACGGGAGGCAGCAGUAGGGAAUCUUCGGCAAUGGACGGAAGUCUGACCGAGCAACGCCGCGUGAGUGAAGAAGGUUUUCGGAUCGUAAAGCUCUGUUGUAAGAGAAGAACGAGUGUGAGAGUGGAAAGUUCACACUGUGACGGUAUCUUACCAGAAAGGGACGGCUAACUACGUG
This 495-nucleotide ribosomal RNA is filed under the name uncultured bacterium. RNAcentral describes it as "partial 16S ribosomal RNA". It matches the Rfam family "Bacterial small subunit ribosomal RNA", at positions 28 to 507 of the family's 1533-position model. The record is from RNAcentral.